RNAcentral lists this transfer RNA (76 nucleotides) under Coprobacillus sp. AF16-47. RNAcentral's name for it is "tRNA-Phe". It matches the Rfam family "tRNA". From Rfam's summary of the family: Transfer RNA (tRNA) molecules are approximately 80 nucleotides in length. RNAcentral also lists the same sequence under 1 other name. The record is from RNAcentral. Lineage: Bacteria; Bacillati; Bacillota; Erysipelotrichia; Erysipelotrichales; Coprobacillaceae.
GGUUCCGUAGCUCAGUUGGUAGAGCAGAGGACUGAAAAUCCUCGUGUCGGUGGUUCGAUUCCGCCCGGAACCACCA